UUGCGGAAGAAACCAGACUUUU
RNAcentral lists this microRNA (22 nucleotides) under Ornithorhynchus anatinus (platypus). Its description in RNAcentral is "oan-miR-1367-3p". The record is from miRBase by way of RNAcentral. Lineage: Eukaryota; Metazoa; Chordata; Mammalia; Monotremata; Ornithorhynchidae.